This 468-nucleotide ribosomal RNA is filed under the name uncultured bacterium. RNAcentral's name for it is "partial 16S ribosomal RNA". It matches the Rfam family "Bacterial small subunit ribosomal RNA", at positions 28 to 507 of the family's 1533-position model. The record is from RNAcentral.
GACGAACGCUGGCGGCGUGCUUAACACAUGCAAGUCGAACGGAAAGGCCCUGCUUUUGUGGGGUGCUCGAGUGGCGAACGGGUGAGUAACACGUGAGUAACCUGCCCUUGACUUUGGGAUAACUUCAGGAAACUGGGGCUAAUACCGGAUAGGAGCUCCUGCUGCAUGGUGGGGGUUGGAAAGUUUCGGCGGUUGGGGAUGGACUCGCGGCUUAUCAGCUUGUUGGUGGGGUAGUGGCUUACCAAGGCUUUGACGGGUAGCCGGCCUGAGAGGGUGACCGGCCACAUUGGGACUGAGAUACGGCCCAGACUCCUACGGGAGGCAGCAGUAGGGAAUAUUGCACAAUGGGCGGAAGCCUGAUGCAGCAACGCCGCGUGCGGGAUGACGGCCUUCGGGUUGUAGACCGCUUUCGCCUGUGACGAAGCGUGAGUGAAGGUAAUGGGUAAAGAAGCACGGGCUAAAUACGUG